Molecule: long non-coding RNA, 840 nt
Filed under: Nicotiana benthamiana
Lineage: Eukaryota; Viridiplantae; Streptophyta; Magnoliopsida; Solanales; Solanaceae
Description: long non-coding RNA (NBEN_LNC028774)
Source: RNAcentral
AGAAAUCGGACUUCCCUCCCCGCGAGCUUCAUCAUCUUCUUCUUUAGGAGAUAAAAACCGAAACAGACCCUGGACACUAAAAAACCAGCGGCGGUAGCUCACAAAAACGACCCAUCCCUUUAUUUUUUAUCGGCUCUAUUUCCUUCUCCAAAGAACCAAAGAAAAGGCUGAAGAAUCCUACAGUCUAACAGCCGAAAAAACAAAAUAACGCCUAUACUCUGCAAAGCUGGCUGAAUUUUUGAAAAAAGGUAUGGGAGUUAAUUGAGGAUAUCAUCUUCUUCAUGGCCAUUUUGAAGGUUGAAACAGCCGUGAAUACACAGUAGAGGCAUCAGACAACCGCAAUACUAGGAGACCUUCCGACGUUGCCCUCAUCUGAUUUUGCUUCUUCUCCAUUUCUGAACACACACAAAAAUAAAUAGAGAUGGGGAAAUUCUGUCUGAAAUAAGAACCAUAGUGAGAACAGAUCUGGACGAGCCAAACACGGGGUCAAACCCUUUCCGAUUUCAAGAGAGGUUCAGUUGCCGAAGUCCCAGAGCGAUUUGGUCUGUGUUCGUAUUUAUAUUGGAAAUACUUUAAUCGUCAUUGGGUGCUCUAUUAGGAUGAAAUGUGUAAUAAUAUUUCUUUUAUCUCUCUAAAAAUUCCGUUACUCAGUUUCUUCUUUCUCUGUUUUAUUUCAAUGCUUACAUGAUGACUUGAUGCCUCAGUUUUGGUUAUUGUUCAGUUCUGCGAUGUUACUCUCGUGGUUUUGAUUGAAAUAUGUGGUUGAACUAUUCUUGUUGUUGGUUGAAUUUGGAGCUGAAUGUCUGUUUCUUGCGAAACCCCUGUGAAGGGAAGUGUCGG